GCGCACAGUGGUGGCCACCGCGACUGGUGCUGAAGUGUUGGCGCGUGCCGGGCGCUCCGCUGGGACCCGGGUUGCUGGCCCUGAGUCUCAGCUUUCUCAUCUGUACGGUUGGGACAAGUACAGUAACCCUCGCCCGUCAAGACGGGCCAGGGCUGUGGCGAGGGUCCACGCCUUAGAGCAGGCAGGAGUAGGGCUGAUUGGAGCCAUUGUACAGUGUCGGGAACAUACCAGGACACUGAGAAUAGUGUCAUGUCAUAAGGACCCAGAGCAGAUGGACCCUGCUGUGAUGCACAAAGAUAGCAGCAUUUUAAUCAUCUCUUCCAUUAAACCAAGAUUACACAAAAGCGUUUGAGGACACUGAGGACUGGGACUUCUAAUUUUGCUUCAGAAACCAGUACUCAAAAUGUCUGGUUUGGAGGAGCUGGGCUGCUUGGAUCAGAGGUUCCAUGGUCUGAACUACUCCACUCUGGUGAAGGUUUCUUCCCCAAAGCCACUCCUCAAGCUGACUUAUAUUGUACCUGAGUUGCAUGCCUGUGCUCCAAGAGCAGACGUCCUUCCGCAGGAGCAGGUCAUUAAGAGUCACUGCGUUGAUCAUGUAGAAGAGCUGUUUGAAUACCUGCAGGAUGAUCUCAGGGUCCAAGCCCUGGUCACACAUGACUGUAUGAAAGGCAUUCAUCUGGCGGAUGAUAGCUUCCAGGCGGUAUGAGUUAUCCCCAUCUGCCAUGCUGGAGGAGUGCUUCUGGGAGCCAGUGGGCUUCACACCAGAUAGACCCUGAAUGCUGUCAUUUUCCAACAUGGCAGAAACUAUCAUCGGCUGUAACACACCCUCGGCAAUUUUAAAGAGCUGCUGGUAGAUCUGAAUGGAAAGGUCGCUCAGUACCUGACGGUAUUCGGUGAGGUCAAAGUUCUUAAGGCAGUGUUCGUUGUGCUUUGCUGUAUUCUGAGUCAUGAAGCCCUCAUCCCCGCUGUACCGCUUCAGACAGUGAAGAAGGUGGCAGGUGUUGGAUAACAGGAAUGACGUCAUCUCAAAGUCAUCACUGUGCUUCUUCAGGACUUUCUUAAUGCCGUUGGUGGUGGAGGUCAUCAGGGAGUGCACCUUGAGAUCAUCGUUGGUUUGGUCCGCGAGCCGAAUGCACAUGUAGAGGAUGUAGGCGGAGAGACAGGGCACUGUGUCCAACAGCAUCUGGGGCUUCAAGUCUGUCACCAGGUUGAGGAUGAGGAGGGCCUCGCCCUCUUUGCGGCACUCCAACAUGCCCUGGAAAUCCUUUUCUUUCCACUGAACUGGGACCUGCCUGUUGAACUCAUGGCGCUUCCUCUCACUCUGGGCCAACGCCUGGGCAGCUUCUUCAUGUAAAUCUUCAGUUGCUUUUAGAGCUUCCUCUCAUUCUUUUCCUCUUACUUUAUUUUUCACCACAGAGCUUCCUAUCAACUAGUAUGUUGAAUAUUUUGCUUAUUAACUUUGUUUAUUGUCUUCUCCCUCGAUUAGAAUAUUAGCUACUUGAGUACAAGGAUUUGAGCCUGUUACAUUCACUGCUGAAUUUUAGGCUCCUGGAAGAUACCCAGCAUUCAAUAGAGACCACACAAUAAAUAUAUGUCAAAUAAA
Homo sapiens (human) is the source of this 1603-nucleotide long non-coding RNA. Ensembl annotates it as lncRNA negative regulator of fibroblast-like synoviocyte migration, SYNCRIP interacting. Its record names the gene LERFS. Lineage: Eukaryota; Metazoa; Chordata; Mammalia; Primates; Hominidae. The record is from Ensembl.